Long non-coding RNA from Zingiber officinale, 624 nucleotides. RefSeq lists it as uncharacterized. The record is from RefSeq and is a predicted model, not a curated record. The transcript is spliced from 2 exons. NCBI's taxonomy places the organism in Eukaryota, Viridiplantae, Streptophyta, Magnoliopsida, Zingiberales, Zingiberaceae.
GAGUAAAAUCUCGGUUAAAUCCAAUUAGUAAGUUCAGUUAUUUUUUUUUUAAUAAAAAAAACUCUGCGUUUUAAUUUAUUUUUUUAGUAGUACCUUCUUCUAGCAUUUUAACCCUUACGAAAUGUGAUGCUAUAUGGAGCGAAGAAGGAACUGCAGAAACUUUCUCGGACCAUAUUUUCCUCUUUAGGUCAACCGCCGUUGAGAUGGGAAGGGAGUUCCCCCCUCCGGUUUCUGUUAGCCCUGGGAAGAAGAAGAAGAGCUGCGAAGAAUCCAGCGAACCAAGGCAGCAGCCAACACGGAAGUCCCUACGGUUAGCUGAACAAAAAGAAUCCAAGGACAGACAGGCCGAGCUCGGUCUCACCACCACAGGUUCAACACUGACCCAGAUUGGCUCUAGUGAGGGAGGCGAUCCGACUAAUCCAUGAAACAUGGGCAUCCACACACCCUUCCAGCCAUCAUUGCAACAGCAAACACUCUCAAUGGUAACUGAUCAUAGUAAAUAGUAUGACAACAUAUGGACCCUUACCUGUUCUUUCACCUUCUCUUCUCGUUACAUGCUUUCCUACUCAUCCUCAAAAACCCUUUCACUACUUUUCUUCCUCUAUAAUUUCCUUUUUACCAAAA